UCAGCCUUCUUGCAAAAGACAUAUUUCACGCCUUCCACCCACUAAGAUGCUGAUCAACCUUAUCCAAGAUAAAUUGAAAAGAAUUUCUACUAACUCUAUUACGAAAGAAGGGAACCCCAAGGUACUUCUUAAGAUCAUCAGUCAUUUGAAAAUGAGAAACUUCGUAGAGUUAUUGCUUCAUAUUAUGAGAGACAUUUGUAGAGAAGAUCUUCUAACCUUUGCCACAUUGGCCAAAUGAAAAAGUCUCUCCAAGCAAAGGACGAAUAAAUAAGGUGAUAGAGGUUCUCUCUGGCAAAUACCCCUUAAAGAAGAAAAUUCCUCUGAGGCUUCCCAUUCCAUAGAACCCACGUUCUUUGAAGUAGUAAUACAUUGCUAAACAAGGGACUCAAAGUAUUCGGACAUCCCAAUGUUGACAAGUGUAUCCUUGACAAAGAUAAUGAAAGAAAUGGAGAGGAUUUUGAUUAAAAAAAAAUGAGUAGCUGAA
Molecule: long non-coding RNA, 484 nt
Filed under: Cicer arietinum (chickpea)
Lineage: Eukaryota; Viridiplantae; Streptophyta; Magnoliopsida; Fabales; Fabaceae
Description: long non-coding RNA (CARI_LNC002952)
Source: RNAcentral